GGGGAAUGUAAUUAAUAGCAAUCACAAACACCUAUACGCACAUUGAUAUUACAAAUGAAGAGGCCGAUACUGGAAAAAUUAGGAAUCAAUAGAUUUCAGAUAAAAUGACGUUUAUAUUAAAGAAUAAUAUUUUGAUAAUUGCCACUGCAAGUCUUCUUGAUUUUGGAUAUUCAAAUUUGGAUCGCUUCUACUGAUGUACUGCAGGUCGUAUCUCGCAAACAAAACAAACUACUACUGAUUUCUAAGAAGUAAAAUGUAGUUGCUUGUUUAUUAUGCUUACCAGUAUAAAUCGGAAUGUACGCGUAACUCAAUAGGAAAUAACUGAGAUAUAUCAAAUCGCAUGACCAUAAAGGACAACUAUAGAACGCAUUCAAGAAUUCUACCUAUAGCAAAAUUUUUAUUUGUACAAGUUGAAAGUUGCAAUUAUAGUGCUUGCAUAGUAGUUGGGACUAUCCUGUUGAAAUUACAUCUCAUUGAGAAUAAUGAUAUUAUUGUUUAUCAUAUUUUUGAACAAAAAUUAUUUAUCACAAUGCAGUAACGACUCCCAUUCAUCACUAAGCAAUUUCCAGUUUAUUUUUUGCUGAUAUAAGAUCCGAUAAAUCUAUAAGUGUUUAAACCACAUCCAAUGGUUGUGUAAAUAGUCUGAAUGGGUUUCUUGUGAAUUAGUCUGAAAUGUAUAAGCAGAAAUUAACGUAAUCGAUGAUAAAGAAAUCCUGCGGAAGCGUCCGAAUAUCAUUUCAUAUGAAUAUCUUCCGAACAGUGUAGAAAAAAAAGCAAUGAUAAAAUGUCAGUUCAAUAACAUUUGAUAAAGGAGAGCUUUGACAUUUUUCCAGAAUAUUGUAAAAUGAUUGCGUGUGCCAUUAGCAAUAAUAAUUCACAAAAACAUAAAUACACACAUAGAGACAUAUACACUAGUAUUUGAUACAUUAUAGUUUAUGAUAAUUUGCUUUAAAACAAAAAUUUUACAUACAUAUUACGAUAAAAUGUUCGUUUCAUUAAUAGUUAAAAUUUAUUAUUGUAUUCCUUUGAACUGUUUUCUUUAUUGUGUGAAUUUUGUUUUUUUUUAAAUAUUCAAAGAUGAAUCUUGUAUUCGAACUGAAUAAUAUCGAAUUGAACUUUUUUUUUGACGUAGCCGAAUUAAGGGGACAUAGGACUUGUACUUUGUUAUGGGCAUAAAUGUAAAAUACAGAUGAAAAAGCUUAUUUAAUAUACAUACAUGUUAUUAUAAGUGUAAUAUUUAAAUGAAGAAACAAUUAAUAUUGACUAGGGACCUAACAUACAAAAUCGCUUGUAAGAUGUUAAAUUGAAAAUUAAGAAGUAAAACAAAUUUGGAUAAGUGAAGCAUCUUAUAAGGAGCUCGUAGUAAGAGUAUAUAUAAAAAGUAAUCAAAUGUAGGGGAAAUUACAUAAUAAUAUUAUCAGAGUUCUAUAAUGCUAAAUAAUUACAAAAUAAGGUUUUAAAACAAAUAAAACCGAAAUCAAUUGAAAACCCUGAAUGAGUUAGAAGCGAUUUUUUUAACUUCAAUUGUGGAGAUGACAGAUGUUGCAAUGCAAAAAUUAAGUGUCGGUCCUGUUACAUCAGCUAUGACGAUAUAGAAUUUAAGCAUCGUUACUGUUAUAUCAGCUGUAACAAAGCAAAAAUGAAGCAUGAAUAAAAUUUUUCUAUGCUCGAAAUACUAAUUUGCAUAUUUUAGCCGCAUAGAAAACUAUAUUGAAAUUUGGACUUUGCAAAUUUUUGUGUGUACAUAAAAUGGUGAACGCCAGACUUUGUAGUAAUGCGACAUAUUUGCAUAAUAUGGAAACUAGGGAUUUAUCAUUGAAUGAAUGGUGUAUUGUUGAAAAAUGCAUUUAAACCAUUUUGACGACAUGAAUAUUGGAAAAUUAAAAGCAUGGAUAUUUACAUAUUAUAUUUUUUGAAAUGAAGAAUGAAAAUUUUUCAUAUUUUAUUCUAUUUUACUAAUAGAAUUCCAUUUCAUUUG
Condylostylus longicornis is the source of this 1978-nucleotide long non-coding RNA. RefSeq lists it as uncharacterized. The record is from RefSeq and is a predicted model, not a curated record. Lineage: Eukaryota; Metazoa; Arthropoda; Insecta; Diptera; Dolichopodidae. The transcript is spliced from 6 exons.